Long non-coding RNA from Gopherus evgoodei (Goodes thornscrub tortoise), 123 nucleotides. RefSeq lists it as uncharacterized. NCBI's taxonomy places the organism in Eukaryota, Metazoa, Chordata, Testudines, Testudinidae. The record is from RefSeq and is a predicted model, not a curated record. The transcript has 3 exons.
ACCAGAAAGCAAGUGUGAAAAAUCAGGACAGGGGAUGGUGGGUAAUUGGUGCCUACAUAAGACAAACCCCAAAUAGUGAAACUGUCCUUAUAAAAUCAGGACAUCUGGAUCUGGCCACCCCAG